Zeugodacus cucurbitae (melon fly) is the source of this 539-nucleotide long non-coding RNA. RefSeq lists it as uncharacterized. The transcript is spliced from 2 exons. Lineage: Eukaryota; Metazoa; Arthropoda; Insecta; Diptera; Tephritidae. The record is from RefSeq and is a predicted model, not a curated record.
UGGAUCAGGUUUGGUAUAAACACAUGAACAUGCAUAAAAGUUGUUUACGAUGAAAUAGAAUCGGGCGCAGUUACAUCAGAGUAUUUAGAUGAUAUUGAAUGACUCUGUACAAUUCUAAUUGCCGCCGCAUCUUUGAUACGUUCCUAUAGGGAAAUGAAAUAAAUAUUAUUAAAAAAUAUUUUUUACAGGAAUUUUUCGAUCCGAAACACCGAAACAUUGACACAAAGUCAAAAGAAAUCUGCCCGCACGUCUCUCCACAAAAUUUAAACACACCUGACGUCAAGGAUUCACAUAUGUUUUUCGAAGUCAAAGCGGAGAUCGGGAAUAGUCAAGAUGUAAGCUGGAAGGUGAAUGUAAGGUUCAGGAUUGAUGAGGCUAGUUAUCAAGGGAGGAUAUAUGUUUAAGCCGUUUUAUAAUGUCAAGGGAGAGCGGAUUGUAAGCUGGCAAUAUCUAAAAUGACUCGUUAUUCGAGCCGCUAAUGGAUUGCAAUCAUAUUUGAUUCAUGUUAACUUAUAAUAAAUUCACUUAGUUUCAACCGA